Non-coding RNA from Papiliotrema laurentii, 86 nucleotides. The record is from the annotation of a GenBank genome assembly. NCBI's taxonomy places the organism in Eukaryota, Fungi, Basidiomycota, Tremellomycetes, Tremellales, Rhynchogastremaceae.
ACAUCAGUAGUUCAGUGGUUAGAAUUUCUGCCUUCCAUCUUACGAUCGAAAAGCAGAAGGCCCGUGUUCGAUUCACGGCUGAUGUA